Molecule: ribosomal RNA, 253 nt
Filed under: uncultured bacterium
Lineage: Bacteria
Description: partial 16S ribosomal RNA
Rfam family: Bacterial small subunit ribosomal RNA
Source: RNAcentral
UACGAAAGGGGCUAGCGUUGUUCGGAAUUACUGGGCGUAAAGCACACUUAGGCGGCCUUGUAAGUUGGGGGUGAAAUCCCGGAGCUCAACUACGGAACUGCCUCCAAAACUACAAAGCUCGAGGAUGUGAGAGGAGAGUGGAAUUCCGAGUGUAGAGGUGAAAUUCGUAGAUAUUCGGAAGAACACCAGUGGCGAAGGCGACUCUCUGGCACAUUUCUGACGCUGAGGUGCGAAAGCGUGGGGAGCAAACAGG